UGGGGAAUAUUGCACAAUGGGCGCAAGCCUGAUGCAGCCAUGCCGCGUGUAUGAAGAAGGCCUUCGGGUUGUAAAGUACUUUCAGCGGGGAGGAAGGGAGUAAAGUUAAUACCUUUGCUCAUUGACGUUACCCGCAGAAGAAGCACCGGCUAACUCCGUGCCAGCAGCCGCGGUAAUACGGAGGGUGCAAGCGUUAAUCGGAAUUACUGGACGUAAAGCGCACGCAGGCGGUUUGUUAAGUCAGAUGUGAAAUCCUCGGGCUCAACCUGGGAACUGCAUCUGAUACUGGCAAGCUUGAGUCUCGUAGAGGGGGGUAGAAUUCCAGGUGUAGCGGUGAAAUGCGUAGAGAUCUGGAGGAAUACCGGUGGCGAAGGCGGCCCCCUGGGCGAAGACUGACGCUCCGGUGCGAAAGCGUGGGGAGCAAACAGG
RNAcentral lists this ribosomal RNA (429 nucleotides) under Chloroflexota bacterium. Its description in RNAcentral is "Chloroflexi bacterium partial 16S ribosomal RNA". It matches the Rfam family "Bacterial small subunit ribosomal RNA", at positions 355 to 776 of the family's 1533-position model. The record is from RNAcentral. Lineage: Bacteria; Bacillati; Chloroflexota.